UUCCGGUUGAUCCUGCCGGAGGUCACUGCUAUCAGUGUUCGACUAAGCCAUGCAAGUCAAAUGUUCUUCGUGAACAUGGCGGACUGCUCAGUAACACGUGGAUAACCUGCCCUUAGGAUUGGCAUAACACCGGGAAACUGGUGAUAAUACUGAAUAGACCAUUUAUGCUGGAAUGCUUUUUGGUUCAAAGGCUUCGGCUGCCUAAGGAUGGAUCUGCGGCCUAUCAGGUAGUAGUGGGUGUAAUGUACCUACUAGCCUACGACGGGUACGGGUUGUGAGAGCAAGAGCCCGGAGAUGGAUUCUGAGACAUGAAUCCAGGCCCUACGGGGCGCAGCAGGCGCGAAAACUUUACAAUGCGGGAAACCGCGAUAAGGGGACACUGAGUGCCAGCAUAUUAUGUUGGCUGUCCACAUGUAUAAAAACCAUGUGUUAGCAAGGGCCGGGCAAGACCGGUGCCAGCCGCCGCGGUAACACCGGCGGCCCGAGUGGUGAUCACUUUUAUUGGGUCUAAAGGGUCCGUAGCCGGUUUGAUCAGUCUUCUGGGAAAUCUGACAGCUCAACUGAUAGGCUUUCAGGGGAUACUGUUAGACUUGGGACCGGGAGAGGUAAGAGGUACUACAGGGGUAGGAGUGAAAUCUUGUAAUCCCUGUGGGACCACCAGUGGCGAAGGCGUCUUACCAGAACGGGUCCGACGGUGAGGGACGAAAGCUGGGGGCACGAACCGGAUUAGAUACCCGGGUAGUCCCAGCCGUAAACGAUGUUCGCUAGGUGUCAGGGACGGUGCGACCGUUUCUGGUGCCGUAGGGAAGCCGUGAAGCGAACCACCUGGGAAGUACGGCCGCAAGGCUGAAACUUAAAGGAAUUGGCGGGGG
This 872-nucleotide ribosomal RNA is filed under the name uncultured archaeon. RNAcentral's name for it is "bacterial SSU rRNA". It matches the Rfam family "Archaeal small subunit ribosomal RNA", at positions 1 to 874 of the family's 1478-position model. The record is from RNAcentral.